Molecule: long non-coding RNA, 994 nt
Organism: Syngnathus acus (greater pipefish)
Lineage: Eukaryota; Metazoa; Chordata; Actinopteri; Syngnathiformes; Syngnathidae
Exons: 2
Source: RefSeq, a predicted model, not a curated record
CGCGGCCCCCGUUCCCUCAUUAAGUGCACCUGUGGCAAAAGUUUGGCUCUUGCAGGACGUGAAAAUGAACUCAACUUUUCACGCAGGUGUGUUUAACGAGGGUAACUUUGAAAACAUAUAUAUUGGAACGCGGCCCCCAUUCCCUAAUUAAGUGCACCUGUGGCAAAAGUUUGGCUCUUGCAGGACGUGAAAAUGAACUCAACUUUUCACGCAGGUGCGUUUAACGAGGGUAACUUUGAAAACAUAUAUUGGAACGCGGCCCCCGUUCCCUCAUUAAGUGCACCUGUGGCAAAAGUUUGGCUCUUGCAGGACGUGAAAAUGAACUCAACUUUUCACGCAGGUGUGUUUAACGAGGGUAACUUUGAAAACAUAUAUAUUGGAACGCGGCCCCCGUUCCCUCAUUAAGUGCACCUUUGGCAAAAGUUUGGCUCUUGCAGGACAUGAAAAUGAACUCAACUUUUCACGCAGGUGUGUUUAACGAGGGUAACUUUGAAAACAUAUAUAUUGGAACGCGGCCCCCGUUCCCUCAUUAAGUGCACCUGUGGCAAAAGUUUGGCUCUUGCAGGAUGUGAAAAUGAACUCAACUUUUCACGCAGGUGUGUUUCACGAGGGUAACUUUGAAAACAUAUAUUGGAACGCGGCCCCCGUUCCCUCAUUAAGUGCACCUGUGGCAAAAGUUUGGCUCUUGCAGGACGUGAAAAUGAACUCAACUUUUCACGCAGGUGUGUUUAACGAGGGUAAUUUUGAAAACAUAUAUAUUGGAACGCAGCCCCCGAGGACUGGAUUACAUUGACGUCAUUUUAGCAUGUUAAUGUCGAAAAUAAAAUGAGAAUAAAUGAAUAAAAAUUCCACUGAUUCUUUAUUUGAAAUACAUUUUAUUAUACCGUAAAAUACAAAACAUUUAAUAAAACAAAGUUUUUUUUUAUCUACAAAUGUACAAAGAUCAAGAUUAUAUUACAUUUUUUAGUUUUGGCUAUAUAAAAACAAAAACAAC